Molecule: long non-coding RNA, 577 nt
Organism: Gossypium arboreum
Lineage: Eukaryota; Viridiplantae; Streptophyta; Magnoliopsida; Malvales; Malvaceae
Exons: 2
Source: RefSeq, a predicted model, not a curated record
CACACUCAAGCAUUUAUUUUAUUAUUAAAAGAAAAAGUUUGUUUUAAAGCCAAUCUUUUGCUAAAGAAAACACUUUUAACUUCUGUUUCUUAAAAAAAAACUUUAUUACUUCCACAACUCACCCCCCAGACGAAUGGCCAAGCUUUAACCGCCUCAAAAUCCGACUAUGGCAAGGAGUCGAGCCAUCAGCUGUCGUGAGCGUGAUGCAACUCCGGUACGUGGAGACGUGAAGAGUGCGUUCAUGGGCGUGUCAACGUGAAAUAUGGAAGGUGGAAGCGUGGGCUGAAGUAAUGGCGCGCGUAGAGGCUGGCUCGAAGGCAGCAGCAGCGCAAGGGGGAAAGGGAAUGGGUUCUGAAAACUCCAAAAACCUGGGCCUACUGGCUUUGGUUCAUUUCAUUCAGUAUUAGGCCAUUGUAAAACUUUUUGGGCCUGUUUAAUUUGGGUUUAAUGCAAGGCCGGGCAAAAUAUGGGUUUUACAAAAAAGAUUCUUGAAAAUAUCAACUCUCGUCCUCCCAUUACUUCUCUACACCAAUUCAUUAAAAUAAAAUUUUAUCAUGACUGAUCACAUUAACUCAAA